AAGUUAUAGACAAGAGAAACAAAUUCCACCUCAUAUAGGAGCCAAUAGGGUUAGAUUUUUCAGGCAACAAGAAAGCCAGGGCAGGGGACAGAAUGAAUUGAAGGGACAACGACAGCAGCAGGAAGCCCUCAGGUGGGAAUGCUGAGCAGUCCAGAUGAGAGAAGUUGAUGGUUUGGACUACUGUGCUAACAAUUGCGUCACAGAGAAAUGAGUGUCCAUAGAUCAACAUUUACCAAGCUGAUGUUUACUAAGCAUCACACCAUAUCCUGCAUCAUGCAAUGGUUCAGUGAUACCAGAACCUGAAAUUCUAAUAAAAAGAAUCAAUAAGGUAACAAAAUAAGGUACUAGUUGCCCUUUGUAAGUAUGCACUCCACACUGUGCACUGUGUCUCGACACUGUAGGAUUUCCCAGGCAUGCUUCCAUGUGGAGAGGUCUGAGGUUCUCUAGUGCUACCUGUGACAAGGUGAAUACAAAUGUCUAUUUUGGGAUUCAAAUCAUCAUCGUAAUGACCGUCCAUUUCUGCCGUGCAUCAAAAUUCAUUUCUCCACUUACAACAUUUUCAGUAAUGAAAGUGGCCAUUUUAUCUCUAUUGCUGUUCCUUUAACUAUCUUAAAUAACUGCAAAUUCAAGCUAAAGAAAAAAAUUUAACAAAAGUAGUCUUAUUUAAGAUCUAGUAUAGCGUAAUAGUUAAGAACGUGAACUCUAGAAAUACAUUUCUCAGCUUCUAACUGCCCUUCAGACUUCUAAAUUUCUGUUUCCUACUGAAUAUGUGAUCCUUGAUUUAACCUUGAUUUUUUACCUGUAAAAUUCAGUAGUAAUUAAUUUUGCUUAUAGACUUUUGUAGAUUAUAUAUACAUACACGUUUGUAUAAUUUGAUCUUCUCUACUUUCUCUGUAGAGACUCCACAUGUAUUUUGUCUCAGAAAUAAAGAGAUUGUUCUUCAAAAAGAAACACAUUGAUAGUUAUAAAUUAAAAUUCAUUAAUCAAUUCAUUCAUUAAGCAGAUAUCCCUUGUACAACUAUCUAAAUGCUUUCUUUGAGGAAAUUGGGUCAUGAAAACAUAAAUAUGUUAUCUGAUAUCAUACAGUUGGAGAAACACCUACUAAAAUUUAGGUUUCCUGAUGCUACAAAUGGAAACACAAGAUAUCUUAAGAUAAAACAUUAGCUCAGUGAUUAAGUGCUCAGGACUCAGACAUCUUCAGUUAAAAUCUUGCUCUGAUAGUCAGCUGUAUGAAACUUUUAAUUCUCUGUGUCUCAUUUUUCCUUUUUAUAAAACAUAUAACAACACCUAGCUUGAAUCUUUACUGUUAAGAUUAAAUGAGAUGAUUUGAAAGACUGUGUGUGUGUAUGUGUGUGUGUGUGUUUGUGUGUGUGUGUGUGUGUGUAGAUAUUAGCAGAGAGAAAUCACUUUGUGCUAGGAUAGAAAAGUUAAGAUAUAACAAACUAUUUGUGAAGCAUGAAUAAUUAAAAAUACAAGUUUAUUCUGAUUAUUUUAUAAGUGCGGUUCUCUUGGCAUUUCAAAUAAUAUUCCAUUAUUUACAAAAAUUAAGCAGAACUAACUGAGUUAUUUAUAUGGAUAAUACCUCCCAUGACUAAUCAUUGUAAAUGUAAUAAAUUAUUGCUAUGGGAUAUGGUGCAAUUGAAUUGGACUUAAAUUUUUAUAUUUAACAUCUGCUCAUAACACAGCCACCGAGGAAUAUGUAUCUUAAUACCUACAAUGCUUCUUGCAAUGAUGUUGCCUAAUGAAGUCUUUAUGAAGUUCACAUAACUGUUAGUUGGAGGCACAAUAUAAAUUUUCUGAUGACUUUUCAGUUAUAAUUUAAAGUGAUAGAAAUAUGACACUGAAAUGAAUGUACUGAGAGUAUUAUUCUGAUGACUCCGUUACUUCCAAUAGAUUUUGACACUGAUAGUUUUUAAUCACUUAGCUAAAAGGAGGGAAGCAGAGAAGAAAAUCCCCCUCUUUUCACCUUUGACAAUGAAAUUAUGACUAAAAGCUGAUUACCUGUGACUGCAGAAUCAAUCAUUCCUAAUACAUACUCUCUGGAGAAAUUAAAAACAUCGAAAAAAAGAAAUGUGAAAUGGCCUCAUGGUUACUGUCUGAUAGAAAAUAUCUAGAGGCAAUACUAGGUUUUUCGUAAUUUCAUCUUAUGGCAGGAGACAUGUCACGUAAACAUGAUUGCUAAAUAGUGAAGAUAACACUUGUCUAUUAGGAUAACACUUGUCUGCUGCUGAAACAAAUCACCUAAGAUAUUGGCAUAAACACCUUGCCUAUUUGUUUCUUAGUCAACAGGUUACAUUAGAUGUCUCUCCUGAAGAGUUUCCCUCAAAGUACUAACUCUCUCAAAGUGGUAAGUUGUGUGCAAUAAUCUGGCCCUCCUUAAAGCCCAGGAGGACUGGAGAGAAGGAGAGAGCUCAUGAUUUUUAGGAGAUUUUGGAGAUCAGGGACAGAUUUAACUGGAAUUAGUAUAGGAAACUUUACCCUUAUCCAAAGUGCUGGAACUAAUCAGUAUCCAACUACAUUGCAAAAGAGAUUGGGAUAUGUAGUCCUCUUACAUUUCCUGUGAAAUCUUCCUGUUAGACCAAGUAAAAGAAAUGGGAUUAAGGGGGAUCUAGUCAAUCUUGAUGUCAUUAUAUACAUUGACAAUAAGUGCUCAAAAUAAUUUUUAUCAUCUAUUAUUCUGACUGUGAAAUUAUAUUUGAAAAUAAAACACUAUUAAAGUAAUAUAUUCUCAUGUGAAUACAUUUUAUUAUUUUAGAUUUUAAAUGUAUAAGUGAAGAUAUUAAACAUUUAAAAUCUUAGGAAGCCCACUUUGUCUCUGGCUCAGGAUUUUUUUUAUAUUUGUUUAUGCUUUCAGUGUCACUAACUCCUUGUUUUGUUUCUAUGAAUCUCAAUACUCUUCUGAACCUUCUACCUUCAACAAUUUUUUUAAAGUAACUGGUACUUCUUGAUCACUUUUUUUAGUGGCGCUUGUGAAAAAAAUUGUGUUUCUUUUUCUUUUUUCAAGACAGAAUCUUGCUCUGUCACUCAGAUUGGAGAGAAGUGGUGUGAUCUUGGCUCACUGCAGGCUUCACCUCCCAGGUUCAAGCGAUUCUCAUGCCUCAGACUCCCACGUAGCUAGGACUAUAGGUGUGUGCCAUCAUGCCAGGCUAAUUUUUGCGUUUUUAGUAGAGUUGGAGUUUCACUAGGUUGUCCAGGCUGGUCUCGAACUCCUGGCCUCAAGUGAUCCUUCUGCCUCAGCCCCACAAACUGCUGGGAUUGC
This 3259-nucleotide long non-coding RNA is filed under the name Homo sapiens (human). Its description in RNAcentral is "HSALNT0271615". The record is from RNAcentral. Lineage: Eukaryota; Metazoa; Chordata; Mammalia; Primates; Hominidae.